UUCGGUGGCCAUGGCGGAGGGGUCACACCCGUUCCCAUUCCGAACACGGAAGUUAAGCCCUCCAGCGCCGAUGGUACUUGGGUCGAGAGGCCCUGGGAGAGUAGGACGCCGCCGAGU
Molecule: ribosomal RNA, 117 nt
Filed under: Acidimicrobiales bacterium
Lineage: Bacteria; Bacillati; Actinomycetota; Acidimicrobiia; Acidimicrobiales
Also listed under: 2 other names
Source: RNAcentral